GGGGAGAUGGUGAUGGAGGUGGGGGUGAAGCAUAGGUGGCAGAUUCCUCGUACUUUGUAGGUGGUGGGGGUGAUGCAUAGGUGGAUGUUUCUUUCUCAUAGUUUGUUGGUGGUGGAGGUGAGUAGUAUGAUGGUGGUUGUUCAUAGGUUUUUGGUGGUGGAGGUGAGUAGUAUGAUGAUGGUUGUUCAUAGGUUUUUGGUGGAGGUGGUGGAGAGUUAUAGUAAGGUGGAGGUGGAGACUCAUAAUUAGUCGGUGAUUCCUCAUAAUAUUUUGGUGGUGGAGGUGGAGGAGAAUUUUAGUAUGAAGGUGGUUUUUCAUAAUAAGCUAGUGGUGGUGGAGGCUAUGGAGUGAACGGCCUUGCAGAUAGGGUCCUUUAUGAUCCUUGGCUCUUUGCAAUUCCAACUGUGGAGCUAGAGGAUCAAAGUCCAAGGAGAGAAAUGCAUGUCACUUCUUUCAAAAACAGUUCACAGAGUCUGCGUGUUUCUAUGAUUGAAUGAACUUGGACCACCAGUGGCUUAUCUUACUUGUAAUCACUGAAUUUUUUCCACUAGAAUGAUAGUCAUAAACAUUUUUUUCACACUAAAGUAGCUGAACUUCAGCCACUAUAACAAGUGAUCACAUUCGAGCCGAGGGUGUAUUUUAUAUUUUAAAACUGCUUGGAUAUGUGUUACUUAAGCUCGGGGUUUUUCCGAAACAGCCUCUCUAUCUCUUAAGAGGUAAGGGAGUGUCUGCAUACAUUCUACCUUCCUUAGACCCCACCUUGUGGGAGUACAGUGGGUAUUCUCUUGUUGAUUAAUUUUGCUCCGUUGCUUUUUUCUCUUUUGGUUUCUCAAAUAUUAGCAUAUAUUUGCCUAUGUUUUUGACCAUCAGAAUGUGGCACUUCUCUACACCAACAUGCACUCAAUGUAUUUUACACAAAUUCUGACAGCCUUGCUGCAUCUUCAGAAUUCUGCACAUGCAGGCACAAGCUAACCUCGGUGUUGCCUUGCAAUGGAGGGAAUUUUAAAAAAUUCUGUGUGGUUGAACAAAUUUGAACUCAAAGGAACAGAAGCAAACUUUAUAAGAUAAGUACAUUAAAUAUCGGACUUGCUCUUCCAAUUCUCUCUUAAUUGCACCACUUUAUGAAGAUGAACUUUCAUCUUGUUUCUGUUUUGAGCAUCAUCAAAUUGUUCAUUGUCUGUGUAUAAGACUACAGAGGUAAAAACUAAAAAGGAGGAUCAUUAUGUAUACACAAGUGAGCGUGGAGGCUCAGCGAAAAAUGUUGUGAUAUGGCUCCCCUCAAGUUUGUGUUGGUUUAAAACCGUCAAAGGGAAAUAACACAAGAAUUCAAUUCAAAAGCUAGCCGCUAAAACAGAGAUGGAGUUUGAAGAAGAGAAUAUGCAGAGAGAAAGAGAGAGAUUAUUUUCUUGUUAAAAGACUGUCUAUAAUUGAUCAUCAACUUAGCAACUUAAAUAGUUGCUAUUACAACUAAAAAUAGGACAAAAAAAUAACUUACUUCUACCAAAAUUAAAAUAACUAAUUAGUUUUUUACCAAAGAUAGGACUCCUAAUUUAGCUAGAAUUGUACGUAAAAAAACUGGAGAAAAAAGAAAAGAAACGAUUGCAUUCUUAAAGAAACUUUCAACAUUCCUCCUUGCUUUUAUGAAAUGCAAAUGCCAAUUUUCUGUCUGAAAAUCUCGAAUUUGCUGACAUCAACUUCAAUGCCACCCCGCCCAGCAGCUUUGAGAUGACGAUCCAAAACUUUUGGGUCUGCGCAGAUGACUUGUUGCCCCUUUCGAUAUUGGAUUAACUCUAAGCCCUGAAGAGUGGACAAAAUAUCUUCUGCCUUGAUGGCUAUCAUGUCACUUACUUCCUUGAUAGAUAUAUUGCCCUUGUGCUUUUUCAAUAUAUCCAGAAGCACAUGUGUCCAGUAACCCCUAUAGCUCAACAUUCCUAAGUCGGAAAGUGAUCUUUCUGGUGUUCCCACUUUUCCUUCUUUCUUUGAAAGUGCAUAUGGAAAUGCAAUUAGGAAUUUCCCAUAGCCUUUCUUCUGAUAAGGUGGAAGUGUCGGAAUGCAAGCUAAGUUAUAAGACUCUUCUAAAUGCUUUUCCUUUGAAAAGUAGCCAACCAUAUGGCAACCUCGGUCGUCAUAUUUACAAAGCACAUAAAAGAGGAACGGGUUAACAUCAUAAUACAGAGUCUUAUGAUCAAGAAAAAAUUUGGCCAAGUAGCAUAGAUUUUGCCGAUAAACCUUGUUCUUUUUGCCAUCAACCUCAAACAUUGACAGUGUACCACUUCUAUAGAUCUCAUCACCUGGAGGAUGCUUAAGAUCACAUUUUCUUAUGUGCCUCUGAAGCUGCUCUUUGCGCUUCAUAAAAUUGAGACAAAACUCACAAAAGAACAGUUUCGAACAGUCAUUGUAUUCUGGAGGAAAUGGCGAGAAGUACCACGUUUCAAUCUCAUAUCUUCCAAGUUGUAUUGUAGCAAUGUUCUUAACUUGUAUGAACUCUUCUUGCUCUCGUAAACUGGCUGCAUCAAGCUCUUCAUGGACCUCGACACGAGUCUUGUCAAUUUUAUGUUUGUGGUGACAUGUCAUUUUCAAACUUGUCACCUUAUCCUCAACCUUCUCAUCCACAACAGUCUCUACCAAAUUAAUAUCAAGCUGUUCAAGUUUAACCCACUCAUCAAGUCUCCGGUUGAAUUCAGUAUAAAAUAUCAAACUAAAAUCCUCAGAGUUGGACGUAAAAUCAAAACUUGAACUUUCUGUUUUAACAGACUCAUCUUAUCUGGAUCAUCAGGAUUAAAGUCAUCAUCUUCUGAUUCUUCAAAGGAAAUCCCCAAGAUCCCAUAAUCUUUUGGAGGGGCUUCUACCAGCUCUUCAGAUGCAGUAGUAGCAGCUUCCUUGGGAUAUACUUUCUCCCAGCUGUCAGCGACGGAAAGGUCUGUUCCUUGAAGAUCAUUAAGCAAGUCAAUGCAGUCAACUUUGCAAUCGCAACUAGGACAAAGCCAGCCUUCAUCACCAGGUGGAAUGUCUAAAAAAAUGACUCCACACACAACUGGUGAAAUCCACGCUCUUCUUUCAAUGGAUUUAAUGAGAAACUUUUGCCUCUCAUUUUUACUUUAAAUAGGUCUUGUCCAUAUUCCUCCUUGAUCAAGCUGUGUUUAUCUUCGAAAUACAAUUUAAAACCUUUUUCUAAUAACUGACCAACACUUAACAAGUUCUGGUCCAAAUCGGGUACAUAAAGAACAUCGGAAAUUAUUUUAGUGCCCGAUUGUGUUUCAAUUGUAAUGGUUCCAAUUCUUUUUGUUGGAAUAUAACUACCAUGGCCGAUUCUAACUUUUGUAACUUUAGUAGGGCUCAAAUCUUUAAAAAGAUAUUUAUCGCAAGUCAUAUGAUUUGUGCAUCCGCUAUCGAUCAGCCACGACUCGCUUGAGACACUGCUUGUUAAACAUGAUGCGACAAAGAGUUCAUCAACAAUUCGAGCCUCUGCAUCUUGCUGCUGAGUUUUGUUCUUGUAGAUGAUCGUUUCAUGCCCAAGCUGAUUGCACUUACAGCACUUAGCAUCAGGCCUCUCCCAAAACUUGAAAGGUGCACGUCCGAGCUUACCGCAAUGCUUACUAGGAGGGUAGUUUCCUUUGAAACCACCUGUUUUGUUUUUGUUGUUGUGUGUUGCACCUUAUUCAUCAGUUGGUUGGUACUUCUUAUUUUUCUUCUUCUUAAAACGUCCAUCAUCGUGAUGCUUGCUGGUAAGGCACCUUCGACAACUCCUCCUUGUCUUAUAACACGUCGUUGCUCUUGCGCUUGAAAAGCACUUAAGAGCUCUGCAAGUGUGAUCUUAGACAAGUCUUUAGUAUUUUCUAAGGUUGUUAUGGUAGCCUUAAAUCUUUCAGGUACCGUUACUAGGAUUUUUUCAACGAUCCUUGAAUCAUUGAAAGUGGAACCCAACAAUAUGAUGCGAUUUGCUAAAUUAAGAAGUCUAUCAGAGUACUCCUUUAUGGUUUCACUUUUUUUCAUCCUUUGCAGCUCAAACUCACGUACCAGAUUCAUCACUUGCAUCCCUGGAAUCCUUUCAUCUCCUUCAUACUCAGUCUUAAGAUAAUCUCAUACCUCUUUCGCUGAUUGCAGAGACAUGAUGCAAGUCAAGAUAUUAGAUGAAACUACAGUAAAUAAGCAUGCCAUUGCCUUUGAUUUCCUAGUUUUCCUCUCCUUGUGAGUUUUAAUCUGCGCAACCGUUGGAUUGUCCGGCAAGGGAUCUAUCUCGUUUUCAUCUUCAACAGCUUCCCAUAGAUCCAAAGCUUGCAGAUAUAUCCGCAUUCUAACUGCCCAGAUUUGAUAACUUUCUCCAUUGAAAGUUGGUGGUGCCAUUGAAGAAAAAUUUGCUUCUCCGUUCAUGGUAUCCACUGGAUUAGAUUGAUGCACACACUCACAGGUCCCUUAAGAUUAAAGUUCUGAUACCAAUUGUUGAUUUAAAACCAUUAAAGGGAAAUAACACAAGAAUUCAAUUUAAAAGCUAGUCGCUAAAACUGAGAUGGAGUUUGAAGAAGAAAAUAUGUAGAGAGACAGAGAGAGAUUAUUUUCUUGUUAAAAGACUGUGUAUAAUUGCUCAUCAACUUAGCAACUUAAAUAGUUUGCUAUUACAACUAAAAAUAGGACAAAGAAAUAACUUACUUCUACCAAAAUUAAAAUAACUAAUUAGUUUCCUACCAAAGAUAGGACUCCUAAUUUAACUAGGAUUGUACGUAAAAAAAAUUGGAGAAAAAAGAAAAGAGAAGAAACGGUUGCAUUCUUAAAGCAACUUUCAACAGUUUGUCUGAUCAUUAUGUAUAUACAGUGAGCGUGGAGGCUCAGCUGAAAAUGUUGUGAUAUGGCUCCCCUCAAGUUUGUCUGAUCAUUAUGUAUACACACUUAAGUUUGUCUAUUUCGUGUACAUUGCACAACAGUUGCCUGCCACCUGGUUCAGUUGAAUCUACAGAGAAGAAAUCUUACUUGUUGCAACAGAUGCUGACCUUUAUCCCAGCAACUCAGGGAACAUCAACCAUCUCUUUUUGCAUUGCCUAAUGCACAUACUGAACUGAAUCGAAUCUUAUGAUAAUAUGCCUGAACGCCGAACUGUGCUGAACUUUGUGGAUGCACUGAUGCAACUAUAGUAUGCAUGAACUGUACUGUACCUAUAGGGGUCACAGAGCGAUUUAAGGUGUCUGUAAAAACACUGUAUAUAAUUGUUGUAGAUUGAGCGUAGGUUACUUAACUUGUAGCAUUAUCUUCGUCUCUUUGACGUAAAUGAAUUAUACUGGGAGACUUUGAUUUCUUCAAUAAUAAGACUUUCCGUGAAUUAAAAUCACUAUAACUAAGUUCUCUUCGAUUGAAUUUUAACUUAGAUAAGAUAUUAAAUAACUUGGUUUGUUAUUAUCUAAAUCAGUUGACUGAAAACCAAAUCAAUUAAGUGAAACAUUCGGGACCAGCAACGUUUAGAAAAGGCUUAUUAAUGCUUCGAAGGAGGAGUUCAGUAAAUUAUCAGAAACAAUAUUAUUGAAAGAAGAAGAUUGUUGUAGGCAUUAAUGUAAUUCUCAGGAGAAUACACCAAAAGGAAUUUUUCGAUUCAAUGAUCCAAAUUGAUAGAGAUCUCGAGAUAUUACAUAAUCUCAAAUAAUACAUAACACAAAUUGUUUCAAUGAAAGAACACACAACAAGCAAAGCUGAUAAUUUCGGAAUUCAUACAAACAAAUUUUGGCAGAGGAAAUGGAAAUGCUCCAAAUAGGAGGAUGAAAAUGAGUUAAAAAUCAAGGAAUGGUGGAAAAAUAUUGAACAGGAGGAUAUGAUUGUUAUCAGUAGGUUGGUGGGGGAGAUGGUGAUGGCGGUGGGGGUGAAGCAUAGGUGGCAGAUUCCUCGUACUUUGUAGGUGGUGGGGGUGAGGCAUAGGUGGGUGUUUCUUUCUCAUAGUUUGUUGGUGGUGGAGGUGAGUAGUAUGAUGGUGGUUGUUCAUAGGUCUUUGGUGGAGGUGGUGGAGAGUUAUAGUAAGGUGGAGGUGGAGACUUAUAAUUAGUUGGUGACUCCUC
This 6035-nucleotide long non-coding RNA is filed under the name Capsicum annuum. RNAcentral's name for it is "long non-coding RNA (CANN_LNC013222)". The record is from RNAcentral. Lineage: Eukaryota; Viridiplantae; Streptophyta; Magnoliopsida; Solanales; Solanaceae.